UGCUCUUCUGAUCUGCAUUGUGAAACCUUUCCUGAAUGUGACCCGCUAUGUAAUAGAAUAAGUUGUAAAACUUCCUAAAUGUAGUCUGGUAUGUAAUAGAAUAAGUGAUUGUACAUGAACUAA
This is a long non-coding RNA of Herpailurus yagouaroundi (jaguarundi), 123 nucleotides long. RefSeq lists it as uncharacterized. NCBI's taxonomy places the organism in Eukaryota, Metazoa, Chordata, Mammalia, Carnivora, Felidae. The record is from RefSeq and is a predicted model, not a curated record. The transcript is spliced from 3 exons.